GUGGGGAAUAUUGGACAAUGGGCGAAAGCCUGAUCCAGCCAUGCCGCGUGUGUGAAGAAGGUCUUCGGAUUGUAAAGCACUUUAAGUUGGGAGGAAGGGCAGUAAGUUAAUACCUUGCUGUUUUGACGUUACCGACAGAAUAAGCACCGGCUAACUUCGUGCCAGCAGCCGCGGUAAUACGAAGGGUGCAAGCGUUAAUCGGAAUUACUGGGCGUAAAGCGCGCGUAGGUGGUUUUGUAAGUUGGAGGUGAAAUCCCCGGGCUCAACCUGGGAACUGCCUCCAAAGCUGCAUGACUAGAGUACGGUAGAGGGUAGUGGAAUGUCCUGUGUAGCGGUGAAAUGCGUAGAUAUAGGAAGGAACACCAGUGGCGAAGGCGACUACCUGGACUGAUACUGACACUGAGGUGCGAAAGCGUGGGGAGCAAACAGGAUUAGAUACCCGUGUAGUCC
Molecule: ribosomal RNA, 450 nt
Filed under: uncultured bacterium
Lineage: Bacteria
Description: bacterial SSU rRNA
Rfam family: Bacterial small subunit ribosomal RNA
Source: RNAcentral